UACAGAGGAGCCAAGCGUUGUCCGGAUUGACUGGGCGUAAAGCGCACGCAGGCGGUGGUGCGCGUGGGGUGUGAAAUCUGGCCGCUUAACGGCCAGGCGCCAUCCCAUACGGCACGACUGGAGGGCUGCAGAGGUCGAUGGAAUUGCCGGUGUAGUGGUGAAAUGCGUAGAGAUCGGCAGGAACACCCAGGGGGAAACCAGCCGACUGGGCAUCUGCUGACGCUGAGGUGCGAGAGCGUGGGGAGCGAACCGG
Molecule: ribosomal RNA, 253 nt
Filed under: uncultured bacterium
Lineage: Bacteria
Description: partial 16S ribosomal RNA
Rfam family: Bacterial small subunit ribosomal RNA
Source: RNAcentral